This 433-nucleotide ribosomal RNA is filed under the name uncultured bacterium. RNAcentral's name for it is "partial 16S ribosomal RNA". It matches the Rfam family "Bacterial small subunit ribosomal RNA", at positions 29 to 507 of the family's 1533-position model. The record is from RNAcentral.
AACGAACGCUGGCGGCAUGCCUAACACAUGCAAGUCGAACGAGACCUCCGGGUCUAGCUGCGCACGGGUGGGUAACGCGUGGGAAGUUGCCCGUGGGUUAGCAACAAUUCCCUGAAGGGGGUGCCAAUGCCGGAGAAUGUCUUCGGGCCAAAGAUUAGUCGUCUUUGGAUGGGCCCGCGUUGGAUUAGCUAGUUGGUAGGGUAAAAGCCUACCAAGGCGACGAUCCAUAGCUGGUCUGAGAGGAUGAUCAGCCACACUGAGACUGAGACACGGCCCAGACUCCUACGGGAGGCAGCGAUGGGUAAUAUUGGACAGUGGGCGAGAGCCUGAUCCGGCGAUGCCGCGUUGGUGAUCUAGGCCUUGUGGUUGUCAAGCUCUUUUAACCGGGAUGUUAGUGACGGUACCGGGAGAAUAAGCUCCGGCUAACUCCGUG